AGAACGAACGCUGGCGGCAUGCCUAACACAUGCAAGUCGAACGUGAUCCAGGCUUCGGCCUGGUGAAAGUGGCAGACGGGUGAGUAACGCGUGGGAACCUGCCCUGUGGUAGGGAAUAACCGUGGGAAACUGCGGCUAAUACCCUAUGAGUCCUUCGGGAGAAAGAUUUAUCGCCAUAGGAGGGGCCCGCGUCGGAUUAGGUAGUUGGUGGGGUAACGGCCUACCAAGCCUUCGAUCCGUAGCUGGUCUGAGAGGAUGAUCAGCCACACUGGGACUGAGAUACGGCCCAGACUCCUACGGGAGGCAGCAGUGGGGAAUAUUGGACAAUGGGGGCAACCCUGAUCCAGCAAUGCCGCGUGGAUGAUGAAGGCCUUCGGGUUGUAAAGUCCUUUCGGCGGGGAGAUGAUGACGGUACCGCAGAGAAGCCCCGGCUAACUUCGCGCCGAGCAGCCGC
This 454-nucleotide ribosomal RNA is filed under the name uncultured bacterium. RNAcentral's name for it is "SSU rRNA". It matches the Rfam family "Bacterial small subunit ribosomal RNA", at positions 26 to 518 of the family's 1533-position model. The record is from RNAcentral.